GGGCCUGACAGACUUCAGCACUCCAGCACUUACUCCUAGAGAGGAAGAAUCCACAACAGGUCUGAAAACAGACUUCACUGAAGAAGAAAAACCCAGACGUGUUUUUGUCCUAUGAGCCAAGAGGGAAUGUGUCUAACACUGCUCAGAUAGUGAAGUGAAAUAACAACGGGACUGACAUAGCUGGUGACCACAUCCAUAUACAGUAAUGAUGCAUAUGGGCUCCCCAUGGAACCACCUGACUCCACAGGUAACUCCAACCACAGAAAUCGAAACUGCAGAUAAAGAGGGACCACUGUAUAAUGGCCACGUUUAUGUCGAGAGCCCAGGAUGUAGUUGUGUUUGCUUCCCAUGGAGAUUAUGCUUAAGCAAAGGCUGGGAGAGGUAGUUAUCUGCUCUUAUAGCAAAAUGGGAUAUGUGCUUUUUUUCCUCAGUGUUAAAUACAAUAAUUAUUUGAGCCAGGUGUGGUGGUACACACGUGUAAUCCCAGCAGGAGGUGUAGGUAGGGGGAUGGUGGCCCAAGUCUGGCCAAGCAAAAGUGCAAAACCCUACCUGAAAA
Molecule: long non-coding RNA, 556 nt
Organism: Castor canadensis (American beaver)
Lineage: Eukaryota; Metazoa; Chordata; Mammalia; Rodentia; Castoridae
Source: RefSeq, a predicted model, not a curated record